UACGAAGGGUGCAAGCGUUACUCGGAAUUACUGGGCGUAAAGCGUGCGUAGGUGGUUCGUUAAGUCUGAUGUGAAAGCCCUGGGCUCAACCUGGGAAUGGCAUUGGAUACUGGCGACCUAGAGUGCGGUAGAGGGGUGUGGGAUUCCCGGUGUAGCAGUGAAAUGCGUAGAUAUCGGGAGGAACAUCUGUGGCGAAGGCGACACCCUGGACCAGCACUGACACUGAGGCACGAAAGCGUGGGGAGCAAACAGG
This 253-nucleotide ribosomal RNA is filed under the name uncultured bacterium. RNAcentral describes it as "partial 16S ribosomal RNA". It matches the Rfam family "Bacterial small subunit ribosomal RNA", at positions 524 to 776 of the family's 1533-position model. The record is from RNAcentral.